GGGUUGUGAGGUUAAGCGACUAAGCGUACACGGUGGAUGCCCUGGCAGUCAGAGGCGAUGAAGGACGUGCUAAUCUGCGAUAAGCGUCGGUGAGGUGAUAUGAACCGUUAUAACCGGCGAUUUCCGAAUGGGGAAACCCAGUGUGUUUCGACACACUAUCAUUAACUGAAUCCAUAGGUUAAUGAGGCGAACCGGGGGAACUGAAACAUCUAAGUACCCCGAGGAAAAGAAAUCAACCGAGAUUCCCCCAGUAGCGGCGAGCGAACGGGGAGGAGCCCAGAGCCUGAAUCAGUGUGUGUGUUAGUGGAAGCGUCUGGAAAGGCGUGCGAUACAGGGUGACAGCCCCGUACACAAAAAUGCACAUAUUGUGAGCUCGAUGAGUAGGGCGGGACACGUGGUAUCCUGUCUGAAUAUGGGGGGACCAUCCUCCAAGGCUAAAUACUCCUGACUGACCGAUAGUGAACCAGUACCGUGAGGGAAAGGCGAAAAGAACCCCGGCGAGGGGAGUGAAAAAGAACCUGAAACCGUGUACGUACAAGCAGUGGGAGCCUCUUAAUGGGGUGACUGCGUACCUUUUGUAUAAUGGGUCAGCGACUUAUAUUCUGUAGCAAGGUUAACCGAAUAGGGGAGCCGAAGGGAAACCGAGUCUUAACUGGGCGUUAAGUUGCAGGGUAUAGACCCGAAACCCGGUGAUCUAGCCAUGGGCAGGUUGAAGGUUGGGUAACACUAACUGGAGGACCGAACCGACUAAUGUUGAAAAAUUAGCGGAUGACUUGUGGCUGGGGGUGAAAGGCCAAUCAAACCGGGAGAUAGCUGGUUCUCCCCGAAAGCUAUUUAGGUAGCGCCUCGUGAAUUCAUCUCCGGGGGUAGAGCACUGUUUCGGCAAGGGGGUCAUCCCGACUUACCAACCCGAUGCAAACUGCGAAUACCGGAGAAUGUUAUCACGGGAGACACACGGCGGGUGCUAACGUCCGUCGUGAAGAGGGAAACAACCCAGACCGCCAGCUAAGGUCCCAAAGUCAUGGUUAAGUGGGAAACGAUGUGGGAAGGCCCAGACAGCCAGGAUGUUGGCUUAGAAGCAGCCAUCAUUUAAAGAAAGCGUAAUAGCUCACUGGUCGAGUC
This 1122-nucleotide ribosomal RNA is filed under the name Escherichia coli. Its description in RNAcentral is "partial 23S ribosomal RNA". It matches the Rfam family "Bacterial large subunit ribosomal RNA", at positions 1 to 1155 of the family's 2925-position model. Lineage: Bacteria; Pseudomonadati; Pseudomonadota; Gammaproteobacteria; Enterobacterales; Enterobacteriaceae. The record is from RNAcentral.